This 713-nucleotide ribosomal RNA is filed under the name uncultured Gammaproteobacteria bacterium. RNAcentral describes it as "bacterial SSU rRNA". It matches the Rfam family "Bacterial small subunit ribosomal RNA", at positions 61 to 763 of the family's 1533-position model. The record is from RNAcentral. Lineage: Bacteria; Pseudomonadati; Pseudomonadota; Gammaproteobacteria.
GUCGAACGGCAGCACAGAGGAGCUUGCUCCUUGGGUGGCGAGUGGCGGACGGGUGAGGAAUACAUCGGAAUCUACUCUGUCGUGGGGGAUAACGUAGGGAAACUUACGCUAAUACCGCAUACGACCUACGGGUGAAAGCAGGGGAUCUUCGGACCUUGCGCGAUUGAAUGAGCCGAUGUCGGAUUAGCUAGUUGGCGGGGUAAAGGCCCACCAAGGCGACGAUCCGUAGCUGGUCUGAGAGGAUGAUCAGCCACACUGGAACUGAGACACGGUCCAGACUCCUACGGGAGGCAGCAGUGGGGAAUAUUGGACAAUGGGCGCAAGCCUGAUCCAGCCAUACCGCGUGGGUGAAGAAGGCCUUCGGGUUGUAAAGCCCUUUUGUUGGGAAAGAAAUCCAGCCGGCUAAUACCUGGUUGGGAUGACGGUACCCAAAGAAUAAGCACCGGCUAACUUCGUGCCAGCAGCCGCGGUAAUACGAAGGGUGCAAGCGUUACUCGGAAUUACUGGGCGUAAAGCGUGCGUAGGUGGUCGUUUAAGUCCGUUGUGAAAGCCCUGGGCUCAACCUGGGAACUGCAGUGGAUACUGGGCGACUAGAGUGUGGUAGAGGGUAGCGGAAUUCCUGGUGUAGCAGUGAAAUGCGUAGAGAUCAGGAGGAACAUCCAUGGCGAAGGCAGCUACCUGGACCAACACUGACACUGAGGCACGAAAGCGUG